GAGUUUGAUCGUGGCUCAGGAUGAACGCUAGCGGCAGGCCUAACACAUGCAAGUCGAGGGGUAGAGGAAGCUUGCUUCCUUGAGACCGGCGCACGGGUGCGUAACGCGUAUGCAAUCUACCUUGUACAGAGGGAUAGCCCAGAGAAAUUUGGAUUAAUACCUCAUAGUGUUAUGAUGUGGCAUCACAUUAUAACUAAAGUUUCAACGGUACAAGAUGAGCAUGCGUCCCAUUAGCUAGUUGGUGUGGUAACGGCAUACCAAGGCAAUGAUGGGUAGGGGUCCUGAGAGGGAGAUCCCCCACACUGGUACUGAGACACGGACCAGACUCCUACGGGAGGCAGCAGUGAGGAAUAUUGGUCAAUGGGCGCAAGCCUGAACCAGCCAUGCCGCGUGCAGGAUGACGG
RNAcentral lists this ribosomal RNA (404 nucleotides) under uncultured Flavobacterium sp. RNAcentral describes it as "bacterial SSU rRNA". It matches the Rfam family "Bacterial small subunit ribosomal RNA", at positions 9 to 414 of the family's 1533-position model. Lineage: Bacteria; Pseudomonadati; Bacteroidota; Flavobacteriia; Flavobacteriales; Flavobacteriaceae. The record is from RNAcentral.